RNAcentral lists this small nuclear RNA (22 nucleotides) under Arabidopsis thaliana (thale cress). Its description in RNAcentral is "snRNA_13768". The record is from RNAcentral. Lineage: Eukaryota; Viridiplantae; Streptophyta; Magnoliopsida; Brassicales; Brassicaceae.
GGGAGCUUCGGCGCAAGUGAAA